AGCAUUGAUUUCCAUUGUGUAUCGGAAAUGAGGAUGUAAAAGUCUGAAGAUAGGGUGCAUUUCACUGAGUUGUCUAUGAGCUGCAAUUAUGUAUGGCUCUACACAGCAGUGUGUCCUCAGCCAGUGAGAGACAAGUUGGUGGAUGCCAGAGUCAUGAGCUAAGGCAUGUGCUUUUGCCAUCCUCCAAAGCCAACAGCUAGUGGCAUCAA
This 209-nucleotide unclassified non-coding RNA is filed under the name Hevea brasiliensis (rubber tree). The record is from RNAcentral. Lineage: Eukaryota; Viridiplantae; Streptophyta; Magnoliopsida; Malpighiales; Euphorbiaceae.